AUUAGAAAAAUGUGCACUUUCUUAAUUUAUUUUUUUUUUUUUCAGGUUGACUGAAAACUUGGUGUGAAAAUGAUCAACUGCAACAGCACCUGUGCAGUAAUUAUGAAACAUGCUUUUUCACCUUUAGGUCACAUUACAGCUACUGCCUUGUGCACCAUAGUUCAGGAGCAUGAGAUAGCACAGAUUUGCCAGCUGUAGGACAGUUGGUGGCUGUGCCCUUCAGACAAUGCACUGAUGGUCCAGAGCACAGCAUAAAUUAUCCAGGAAGAGGAAUGCCAUUGUCAACUCUGCCUGAGUAGCUGGAAGUCCUAAGGUUCCUUUUCUGCAAAAUACAGGUGGAUGCUGCUAAACUCUUUUCUCAGGUACCCUGUGAUCAAAGGCUUUUAUUAGAAAAACCGGACAAGUGAAAGUGAAGAAUUCACUGUAGAACGCCUUAAGUUUCUAAAAGGAAGAAAAUGAUAAAUCAAGUCUAAAUCAAGAUUCUCCUGAGGAUCUACACUCACUGACACACUUUAUCUCUGCAUCCUGCUGGAUUCCUAAGCGUCAGCAUUCAUUUAAUUUGGCUGAACAGCAUGGAAAAGUUUGAAGUAUCUUUAUUUACGUUAUGCAAUAAAAUUUCUAUUGUUUAAGAAAAUAACAAACGAGAAAAAACAAAGAAAAUAUGAAUAUUUAUAAAAAUACAUCAUAAAGACAUAAACAGCACAGAAAAAUGAAUAAGCUAUUGUGUUUCUAAACAGAGAAAGUAUCUAAGGCAUGCUAGAUGACCUUUUUUUGAUAAUGAUAAUUGGUUGUUCAAAAUAUGUUCAUUUUGUAAGACGUGUUUCUAAGGCUAAGUUGCAUGUAUAAAUUGUGUUUAUGCAGGCAAUGCAAAAAUUUCAGUUUUCAAUUAAUUUUCUAAUUUCCACUUCUAACUUAAGGUGUUUGUCACAAUACUCCGGGUACUAGAUACUUAGCUUUUCAGGCAUGUUAAGAUUUUGCUGUAGGAUUCUUAUUGUUUCAAUAUUCUUUAUAUGGGGCCACUUUUAGCAGGGUAAUUUUAGACAAGCUUCAGUUCAGAAAAGUACACACAUUUAAUUUCUCUAUGGGGUGGCUGAGGUAUGUACACACAUACUGACCUAGAUUUUAGAAUUACUAGAUCAGUUUUCUUAAACACGCUAAUUUAUAACUCUUGAAAAUAACUGUUUCAAAUUGGUCAAUUUUCAAUGUGUGCGCUUAUACACAUAAAGAAUUCAUAAUGCUGUACAUGUUAUUGUCACAUAGUGCCCCUUCAUUUAAAGCUUCUUCCCAGUUGACAUGAUGCCAGUAUAAUCUAGUAAGUGAUAACAUGGUGUUUCCUGCUGCUUCCCCAUAUUCUCUUAAAUUUUACAUAUCAUUUGUUAUUUUGAAGGGUUUUCUGAAAAAUAAUAAUUCACGGCUAUUUUGUAUCCUAAAGAAGUGAUUGAUAUUUACACUACAAACCACAUUAUCUAUGGGUGUUUUGCAGUAAAUAAAAUAUAAUCAUUUAUAAUCAUACCACCUUGCCAUUUUUAAUUCAUGACAUGAGGUUUACUGUAAGAAUCAUUACCAAUAGUAAUUGGCAUUUGAUUUUAUACAAAGAGUAAAAGGCUAAAUUAGUACUGCUAUGGUUCAAUUUUGUAUACCAUGAAAUGAAUGUAUAGAAGCUGUUUAAAGCUAUAUUUUUAUUAAUUAUAUUGUUUAUUAAUUAUAUUAUAUUUAUUAAUAACUAAGCAGUGGUAUUGAGGUAACAUUAUUUUUGUAUUCACUCAAAAAAUUAAAACCAAACUUUAGAUCUCGUCAUGUAAUGCAUGACCUAUCAUAAUCACUGAUCUGCACAUUGCAUCAGAAGUGCUUCAAAAGAAUCCUCCAUUUUGCUUAAGAAUCAUGACACUGAAGCACAGCUGAACUACUUAUCUCCUUCAUAAAAGAUAAACCACUCAGACUGUUGACUAUAUCCCUAUUUUAAAUGGAUUCCAGAUGUCUCCAUGCAGUGGAAAGAACUCAACAGUUCACAUGAGACGUAUAUUUCAUUAUAUUAGGAGUCUAAAGAAGGAUAUUUUCUCAUUAAAUACUUAUUUUCCUCUUGUUAAUAAAAAACCCUGUUCUUCUUAAAAUAUCAACAACGACCAUCUGUAUGUGUUGCUUGUAGAUUGGUGUGAGGACUGAGUGUGAUCUAUCAUGUUUCUUUUGUUUCUGUGCCACUAUUUUUCUUCUGAAGUGGAAACAUAAAAAAAAUAUGAAUGGCUCCUAAUUUAAUAAAAAACACUGAGUAGAAUCCAAGCUUUGAAUUACUCUAUGCAUAGUUUUGCUCACUACAUCUUGCUACCUAUCAUAUUUUCUGUACAGAACAACAUAUUUUUAAAACAGAAGCUUUGUCUUUACAAUGCCACUUUCCAUAUUCUGGUAUGCAUCUCUCACAUCUCCUUUUUCUGGAUCUCGAAAGUUUAGACUGCUGCCUCUUGGUUCUUACAUCUUGUUUUAUUGCAAUUGAUACACUGUACCUGCCUCAAGUUUCACUCUUCCACACUGCUGAAAUUCUUUCCCAAUGAUGUUAAUAAUGUAAUUGCCAUUAAUUUCAAUAUAUUGGGAUUUCAUUUUGCCUAAAAGACAAAACAUCAGUAUCAAAUGAUGUUUGGCGUUCAGAUUGAUUCAAUUUGAAGAGUCCAGAUUCUCAGUACUUUCUGAAACUUUGGCUUGUUUUAUGUGCCUUGGCGUGUGAUACGUGAGAACAGGGAUCAUUCUUCAGAAGACCUAGAGACUGCAAUCUCUCAGCAUGACCACUCUGGUUCAAAAGGGCCAAGGUCUUGCUCUAGUUCCAUAGCCCCUCCUGGCUAGUGAAUAAUGCUCUUCCACUAAUGCCUGCACAGGUUUUAUUUGUGUGCCACAAAACAAAAACAAGUUUUCCUAUGUUUUACUUUCCUAUGGAACGUAUAUGUAAGUCUUACCAUCUAACAGAAGAUGUCUGCUUUUUUCUCCUCAAUGACAUAGUGGGAGAAACUGACUGGAUAUAUUUUAAUUAAGAUUAAGAUAACUAAUUGAGGGUUCCAGCCAACUCAGUGCUAAAAAUAUACCAUUUUUUAUACCGAAUAUUCUUUAAUAUGACAUCAGUGUACCCUGGAACUGGUAAAGUCUCUUUAGUAUAAUUACUGACUUUGAAUAGGGUUGUGCUGAAAACUUCUCGAAUGCUUUUCAGCCUGUCUGUAGUAUAUUCAUUGAAAAGUGAAACAUAACAUGAGGUAAAUUGUAAAAGAGCAUUGUAUGCAAUCUGCUUAGAAUAACUCCCACCUAACACCAAACACCAGAAUGUUCCUUCCAAUUAAUACCCGUCAAAGACAUUUUUUAAGCAAUAUCAUAUGGUAAACUUUAUGUAGAGCAAGUAUUACAGCAUUAAUCUCCGUAGCCAGGAAGUAUUAUACAACAUGUUUCCUAUCAAAAGGAAAUCUUAAUGUGCUUAAAAAUUUUGCAGAACUCCUACACAUUCUCAAACAAACUAAGCCAAAAAUGACAAGCAGUGCUUUUAAUGAAAGCAUUGUUAAACAGCUGAAGUUCGUGCAUCUGAAUUUUUAAAGGUAUUACAUGAAAAGUUCAAGUGGUUUGCAUACAACGACAGUUAAAGAAAAUAACCAACAAAAAAGAGAUUUGAAUUUAGAAGAAAAGUAAACUUUAAAAGGCCUAAUCUAAAGACAGAGAUCCUGAUUAUUUAUGUUACUGUUAUAGUUUGAGCGACCAAAAUACCUGAUUAAAUCAUAGGAGAUAAGCUAUGCUACGUGUUAUGAAAGAAAAUAAUUCCAAUCAUAUUCUAUGCAGUUAAUGCAAAGAAAAAAUAGAGUAAUCAGCUAAAUUAGAACAUAUUUAUCUUCAUGUAUAUAAUUGUAGAAAAUGCCUUAGGCUGCCUUCAAUUAGUCAUGCUCACUAUAGAAGUCUGGAAAUGACAAGAUCCCUUGACAAUUCUAAAACGAUGUAGUUAUACCCAAUAGAAGAGCAAUCUCAAAACAGAUUUGAUCUCGUAGCCCUUUCUGAAACAAGGAAUGCAUUUCCAUGAACAAUUCUUCAGUGCUCUACUUACCUGGUCUUACUAGAAUGCUUCCCGUAAACAGCACCUGACUUUAAAAGUUGCUUAGCAUCUGUAACCUCAGACAAGAACUGCAGGAAAAAUAAAGCUGUAUAAUUUUACCAUUUGGUAUGAAGACAGCAAGUCACUUAAUGCUUCUGUGCCACAAACAAAAUGUUUGUAAAUUUCAAAUACGCACCCAUAGCAUCAGUGUAUGGAUGUGAUAUUCUUGAGAGUAAAACAAGUGAGAUGCUCCUUCAACACAAUAGCUUGUAUAUUGAAUCAUUAUAUACUGGAUAGAAUAGUACACCAGGAAAAUAGAUCUUUU
Long non-coding RNA from Gallus gallus (chicken), 4376 nucleotides. RefSeq lists it as uncharacterized. The transcript has 4 exons. Lineage: Eukaryota; Metazoa; Chordata; Aves; Galliformes; Phasianidae. The record is from RefSeq and is a predicted model, not a curated record.